RNAcentral lists this transfer RNA (72 nucleotides) under Actinoallomurus bryophytorum. It matches the Rfam family "tRNA". Rfam says of the family: Transfer RNA (tRNA) molecules are approximately 80 nucleotides in length. Lineage: Bacteria; Bacillati; Actinomycetota; Actinomycetes; Streptosporangiales; Thermomonosporaceae. The record is from Rfam by way of RNAcentral.
UCCGGCGUGGUGAAAUAGGCAUCACGGAGGGUUUUGGUCCCUCUAUUUCUGGUUCGAGCCCAGACGCCGGAG